RNAcentral lists this ribosomal RNA (459 nucleotides) under uncultured bacterium. RNAcentral's name for it is "partial 16S ribosomal RNA". It matches the Rfam family "Bacterial small subunit ribosomal RNA", at positions 338 to 795 of the family's 1533-position model. The record is from RNAcentral.
CCUACGGGGGGCAGCAGUGAAGAAUAUUGGUCAAUGGUCGGGAGACUGAACCAGCCAAGCCGCGUGAGGGAUGAAGGUACAGAGUAUCGUAAACCUCUUUUGUCAGGGAACAAAGGCGGGGACGCGUCCCCGGAUGAGUGUACCUGAAGAAAAAGCAUCGGCUAACUCCGUGCCAGCAGCCGCGGUAAUACGGAGGAUGCGAGCGUUAUCCGGAUUGAUUGGGUUGAAAGGGUGCGCAGGCGGACUGUUAAGUCAGCGGUCAAAGCCCGGGGCUCAACCCCGGCCCGCCGUUGAAACUGGCAGUCUCGAGUUGGCGAGAAGUAUGCGGAAUGCGCGGUGUAGCGGUGAAAUGCAUAGAUAUCGCGCAGAACUCCGAUUGCGAAGGCAGCAUGCCGGCUCCACACUGACGCUGAGGCACGAAAGCGUGGGUAUCGAACAGGAUUAGAUACCCUGGUAGUC